GAGUUUGAUCAUGGCUCAGGAUGAACGCUAGCGGCAGGCUUAACACAUGCAAGUCGAACGGUAACAGAUCCAGCUUGCUGGAUGCUGACGAGUGGCGCACGGGUGCGUAACGCGUAUGCAACUUGCCCCUAACUGGGGGAUAGCCCGGGGAAACCCGGAUUAAUACCCCAUAAUAUAUCGAGAUGGCAUCAUCUUGAUAUUAAAACUCCGGUGGUUAGGGAGAGGCAUGCGUCCCAUUAGCUUGUUGGUGAGGUAACGGCUCACCAAGGCAACGAUGGGUAGGGGUUCUGAGAGGAUGAUCCCCCACACUGGUACUGAGACACGGACCAGACUCCUACGGGAGGCAGCAGUGAGGAAUAUUGGACAAUGGGCGAGAGCCUGAUCCAGCCAUGCCGCGUGCAGGAAGACGGCCCUAUGGGUUGUAAACUGCUUUUAUAUAGGAAGAAACCAUCUCUCGUGAGAGAUAUUGACGGUACUAUAAGAAUAAGGACCGGCUAACUCCGUGCCAGCAGCCGCGGUAAUACGGAGGGUCCGAGCGUUAUCCGGAAUCAUUGGGUUUAAAGGGUCCGUAGGCGGGAAUCUAAGUCAGUGGUGAAAUCUUGCAGCUCAACUGUAAAAUUGCCAUUGAUACUGGAUUUCUUGAAUUAGUGUGAAGUGGUUAGAAUGUGUAGUGUAGCGGUGAAAUGCAUAGAUAUUACACAGAAUACCAAUUGCGAAGGCAGAUCACUAACACUAUAUUGACGCUGAGGGACGAAAGCGUGGGGAGCGAACAGGAUUAGAUACCCUGGUAGUCCACGCCGUAAACGAUGGAUACUAGCUGUUCGAUCUUCGGAUUGAGUGGCUAAGCGAAAGUGAUAAGUAUCCCACCUGGGGAGUACGUUCGCAAGAAUGAAA
This 894-nucleotide ribosomal RNA is filed under the name uncultured Bacteroidota bacterium. RNAcentral's name for it is "bacterial SSU rRNA". It matches the Rfam family "Bacterial small subunit ribosomal RNA", at positions 9 to 899 of the family's 1533-position model. Lineage: Bacteria; Pseudomonadati; Bacteroidota. The record is from RNAcentral.